GCCCAGCUUGCUGGGCGGAUUAGUGGCGAACGGGUGAGUAAUACGUGAGUAACCUGCCCUUGACUCUGGGAUAAGCCUGGGAAACUGGGUCUAAUACUGGAUACUACCUCUUACCGCAUGGUGGGUGGUGGAAAGGGUUUUACUGGUUUUGGAUGGGCUCACGGCCUAUCAGCUUGUUGGUGGGGUAAUGGCUCACCAAGGCGACGACGGGUAGCCGGCCUGAGAGGGUGACCGGCCACACUGGGACUGAGACACGGCCCAGACUCCUACGGGAGGCAGCAGUGGGGAAUAUUGCACAAUGGGCGGAAGCCUGAUGCAGCGACGCCGCGUGAGGGAUGACGGCCUUCGGGUUGUAAACCUCUUUCAGUAGGGAAGAAGCGAGAGUGACGGUACCUGCAGAAGAAGCGCCGGCUAACUACGUGCCAGCAGCCGCGGUAAUACGUAGGGCGCAAGCGUUGUCCGGAAUUAUUGGGCGUAAAGAGCUCGUAGGCGGUUUGUCGCGUCUGCUGUGAAAGCCCGGGGCUCAACCCCGGGUCUGCAGUGGGUACGGGCAGACUAGAGUGCAGUAGGGGAGACUGGAAUUCCUGGUGUAGCGGUGAAAUGCGCAGAUAUCAGGAGGAACACCGAUGGCGAAGGCAGGUCUCUGGGCUGUUACUGACGCUGAGGAGCGAAAGCAUGGGGAGCGAACAGGAUUAGAUACCCUGGUAGUCCAUGCCGUAAACGUUGGGCACUAGGUGUGGGGGACAUUCCACGUUUUCCGCGCCGUAGCUAACGCAUUAAGUGCCCCGCCUGGGGAGUACGGCCGCAAGGCUAAAACUCAAAG
This 823-nucleotide ribosomal RNA is filed under the name Kocuria sp. Its description in RNAcentral is "bacterial SSU rRNA". It matches the Rfam family "Bacterial small subunit ribosomal RNA", at positions 73 to 906 of the family's 1533-position model. Lineage: Bacteria; Bacillati; Actinomycetota; Actinomycetes; Micrococcales; Micrococcaceae. The record is from RNAcentral.